CUUUAAAACCACACACACACACACACACACACAGAGAGAGAGGAGGGAGUCGCAGAGAGAAGACAAAAGAGCAGGAUUUAGUUUGUUUUCCUUCUGCUGCGGAUUAUUCAAACAUCCUUUAAAAACUUCUGCUCUGCAACAACAACUAAAACAACUCACGGAUUUUUAUCCAAUUGGACUUAUUUUUUUGUUGUUGAAAUUCUUGCUCCUGGAAGUAAAUAGUUGUUUUUCUAACUAUAGGGGACGUUACGUGGGUCAUGCUGACACUGGCACCGAUGUUUUUCUGAUUUAUUGUUUUGAGCAAAUCAAACUUUUGAAGCCGUAAAAUGUCUUUUCUAUGACAUGCACCGACAGUUCAGACCACCAAACCCAUCAGAUGGUGCAAUCAACGUAAAGGCAACAGAGGGCAGCGGCACACAUCCAGGUCUCGUUGCCGGUGCGUCCGAGCAAAAGACCGGACACCGGAGCUGUGGUCACUCCAUGUUAUCCGGGGGAGGAAGAGGAGGAGAGCAGGACUCGCCGUCCUGGUGCACACCCCAUGACGGAUUAAGUGACGGCCUAUAUCAAAGUAGACGGAAGUAUCCCCUCUCCAGCCGCUCCUCCAGUGGAUACAUCUCAGACGGUGAGUCGCUGCCCAGUUCACCUCAAACCACCAGACCAGUGAUGGCUGACAAAGCCACGCAGACUCCCAGUCUCACUGGGCAGGUUGUGAUGCACGCUCUGCAUCGCAUGGCUGAGGAUGGCCAUGCUGGACCGAGGACGCCCCCUGGUCACGACAGCUUCCCUGAAUCAGGGCCUCUGAACUCGACGAUGGAAGCUCAGGCUGAGACGUUUGGACGGGAGCUUCGACUCAUCGGAGACGACUACAACAGACUUCUAAUCUCAAGGGUCAGUGUUUUUUUUUUAAUUUUUUUUAUACACCAUGGCUGCCCACGGCUCUUUAAAAUGACUUCUAUGUACUCAUGUAUAUGUGACAUUGAAGCAGUU
RNAcentral lists this long non-coding RNA (987 nucleotides) under Gouania willdenowi (blunt-snouted clingfish). Its description in RNAcentral is "lncRNA (ENSGWIG00000009273.1)". Lineage: Eukaryota; Metazoa; Chordata; Actinopteri; Blenniiformes; Gobiesocidae. The record is from RNAcentral.